CGAAAACUCUACAUCUGGUCUUUUUAGUUUUCUCAAGCGCUGAAGCCAUCGACAGCAUAUAGACAAAAGACUGGCACGAAGGCAGACCAUAAACAACAGACAGGCGACGUUGGCUUCAGGGAUUUUCAGUUAUAAGAUCUGGUUUUUGCCAAGCGUUGAACAACAAGAACCAAAAUGGCAGCCUUCGUGGCGAAGCAGAUGGUCGGCAACAAGCUGAACGCAGUUAAAGCUUUGUGCAAGAUCCUCUCGUCGUUCCCCAGCCACGUUAAAAGUUAUGCAACGCGACCACUGCAUUCGAUGUCGCAGAUGAAAGAACAUCGCGGCCUUUGGAAUUUUUGGGAAAAUCCACAAUACUUUAGUCUAGGCUUUUUAUUAUAAUUGUAUUUAAAUAAUAAAACUUAAUAGUAGUUGUUUAUAAUUUAAUCCGAUUAUGUUUGCCUGAGAUUUAUGACAAUAGGCUUGGGCUCGAAGUGACACAUCUGGUCGCUAAACGUAACCACGAUCACGGGAUGGACGUUUUUACCUAACAGAGGUAUGACAUAGUUGUAUAAUUCUCCUUAAAAAUAUAGUUGACCCAAGGGGUACAGAGAGGUACAUAGAAAAGUACAUGAGUUCAGUUUCACUUAGACUUUUGACAAGUAAGCAUAUUCGUUAUUGAACCUAAGAUUAUUGUCAUUAGCAUCUCGAGUACCUAAUCGUCACGAUUAAUUGUCAAAUUCUGUAUUAGUCAUAUAAUCACCUUGUGGAUUUAUUAUUAUAUUCAUUUAGGGACUAAGUAAUCAUUGUUACUGUAAUAUAAGUCUUUAGCGAG
RNAcentral lists this unclassified non-coding RNA (811 nucleotides) under Bombus terrestris (buff-tailed bumblebee). RNAcentral's name for it is "misc RNA ENSBTSG00005037465.1". Lineage: Eukaryota; Metazoa; Arthropoda; Insecta; Hymenoptera; Apidae. The record is from RNAcentral.